UACGAAGGGUGCAAACGUUGCUCGGAAUUAUUGGGCGUAAAGCGCACGUAGGCGGCUUAGCAAGUCGGAAGUGAAAGCCCUCGGCUCAACCAAGGAAGUGCUUUCGAAACUGCUGAGCUUGAGUACUUAAGAGGAUCGCGGAAUUCCCGGUGUAGAGGUGAAAUUCGUAGAUAUCGGGAGGAACACCAGUGGCGAAGGCGGCGAUCUGGGAAGAUACUGACGCUGAGGUGCGAAAGCGUGGGGAGCAAACGGG
This 253-nucleotide ribosomal RNA is filed under the name uncultured bacterium. RNAcentral describes it as "partial 16S ribosomal RNA". It matches the Rfam family "Bacterial small subunit ribosomal RNA", at positions 524 to 776 of the family's 1533-position model. The record is from RNAcentral.